This is a non-coding RNA of Equus caballus (horse), 47 nucleotides long. Lineage: Eukaryota; Metazoa; Chordata; Mammalia; Perissodactyla; Equidae. The record is from Rfam.
UCAAAGGCCCUUUUCAGGGCCGCCCACGUAUUUCCAUAAAAGAGCCU